ACGGCCUUAAAACCUCCGUCACAGGAGGCUCUGUCCAGCCAGGAAGAGCUCUGAUCUGCUUCUGAGGUUUCUGUUUUCAUUUUCCAUCGCCGUGAUGGAGAGGCAGCAUUAGCUCGUUAGCGCUGCGCUCGUCACAAUCAUUCCUCAAUGCUGCUAAAAUGCAAUAAAGCUAAACGAGUCUGGAGAAUAAAAAGGCUCUGAAACAGAACUCUGACUGGAGCCUGAAGGUGUGAGAUGGUGGACUGGAUGACACCAGAUGGAGGUCUGAGGAUCAGUGAUUGCUUCUGCUGGAGCUCCUCCUGGUCCUCAGGAACAGAGCUGAAGGUGACCGGCUCCUCUGAGGGCCAACGGAAAAUCCCAGAGCCUUCAGGAGGUCAUGGAGCUGAACCCCGUUACAUACUGAAGGACCACUUUCACACAAACAUCGUGGUUGUAGGAACCGUUCUUCAGAGUUGUUGUGGUGAAAUUAUCCUUACCUUGGUCCACUCGAUGUGCAGAAGUCUGGAUCUCUGGUGGCAUCUCACAGGAACCGAACUCUUCAUCCCGACCGCCUGCAGAACCACAGAAUAGACCAGAACUUAGAGGGAAUUACUGCAGAACAGGUGGAGCUGGUGUUAGGGUGGUUCUGCUCCGGCUUCUUACCCGACUCUGAGGCUGUUUCUGGGGUUCUGGACCGAGGAUCCUGGUGGUCUCGGUGGGUCCGUCUGUCCACAGCUCUGGUCUGGUCCUGGUGGUCUCGGUGGGUCCGUCUGUCCAC
Amphiprion ocellaris (clown anemonefish) is the source of this 757-nucleotide long non-coding RNA. RefSeq lists it as uncharacterized. The record is from RefSeq and is a predicted model, not a curated record. The transcript has 3 exons. Lineage: Eukaryota; Metazoa; Chordata; Actinopteri; Pomacentridae.